Long non-coding RNA from Eriocheir sinensis (Chinese mitten crab), 1187 nucleotides. RefSeq lists it as uncharacterized. The transcript has 3 exons. Lineage: Eukaryota; Metazoa; Arthropoda; Malacostraca; Decapoda; Varunidae. The record is from RefSeq and is a predicted model, not a curated record.
UUGAAGACGCCCCUGUUAGAGGUACAGGUGGAAAAUGUUAUAUUGUGUUGAAGACGCCCCUGUUAGAGGUACAGGUGGAAAAUGUUAUAUUGUGUUGAAGACGCCCCUGUUAGAGGUACAGGUGGAAAAUGUGUUAUAUUGUGUUGAAGAUGGGCAUAAUGUGAGAUGCCGCCCCUGUCAGAGUUACAGGUGGAAAUGAAUGAUGUGUUUUAGUGAGUCCGUACGGAGAAGCCACUAAGGUGGUGAUUCUACCCCUCAAGUAUUUCCAAGGCGAUAACUCUGGCUCAUUCGUCGCCACUGCAGGGCACGGAGGAACCAAAGUUACGUUAUGUCGGUGUAGAAAGUUCGCUUUCUGGCCUGGAAUGAAACGGGAUGUAGAGAAUUAUGUAAGGAAGUGCGUCAUGGUAGUCGUUUUAAAAGUGAGUUGGGAACUUGCACCCUGCUCCUUGGCGGCAAUAUCCAGACGUCACCGCUCCUUUUGGAAGAAUACACAUGGACCUUGUGGGUCCCAUGGGUGUAUCGGACAAUGGGGUUCGAUACGUAAUGCCCAUAGUUGAUGUUUUUAAAAGGUAUUUGAUUAUAGUACCCUUACGGAGUAAGGAAGCCCGCGAAAUGGCAAGGGCGUUGUACGUGGAUGUUGUUUGUGUACACGGUGUUCCUCAGACAGUUGUUACAGAUCAAGGUUCAGAGUUCGUUAAUUCCGUGAUGCAGGAGAUAAAUUGGAAGCUGCCUGUGCCACACGCGAAUAACGGCUUACCAUACAAGUGGGAAUGGAAUAAUAAAGCGCGCAGAUUAUACUGUUGUUAACAUUUUGAGGAGAACUGUUCUAGGAAGUGUGUCCGUUUGGGAGAUAAUGUUACUUAGUUACAGUCACCCUGGGCUAUAAUGCUGCGUAUCAUCGCACCAUAAAGGAGUCCCCAUUUUAUCGAGAGAGACAGAGAGAGAGGAUUUUUAGAGAUCCUCCUGUACCCAACACUAUGUUAGAAAAACUUUCAGCAGCCCUGGUAUGAUACUGACUCCUACAAAGAGGAAAUGGCUGUAAUGCAAGGAAAGUUUAUGAUAUUUACUCCUACAAAGAGGAAAUGGUUGUAAUGCAAGGAAAGUUUAUGAUAUUUACUCCUACAAAGAGGAAAUGGCUGUAAUGCAAGGAACGUUUAUGAUAUUUACUCCUACAAAGAGGAAAUGGU